GGCUCUGUGGCGCAAUAGUUAGCGCAUUGGACUUCUAAUUCAAAGGUUGUGGGUUCGAGUCCCACCAGAGUUG
RNAcentral lists this transfer RNA (73 nucleotides) under Xenopus tropicalis (tropical clawed frog). RNAcentral's name for it is "tRNA-Arg (TCT) (tRNA-Arg-TCT-27-1)". It matches the Rfam family "tRNA". From Rfam's summary of the family: Transfer RNA (tRNA) molecules are approximately 80 nucleotides in length. Their secondary structure includes four short double-helical elements and three loops (D, anti-codon, and T loops). The record is from RNAcentral. Lineage: Eukaryota; Metazoa; Chordata; Amphibia; Anura; Pipidae.